CCUACGGGUGGCAGCAGUGAGGAAUAUUGGUCAAUGGGCGCGAGCCUGAACCAGCCAAGUAGCGUGAAGGAUGACUGCCCUACGGGUUGUAAACUUCUGUUAUGAGGGAGUAAAGUGAGGCGCGUGUGCCUUUUUGUAUGUACUCUAUUAAUAAUGAUCGGCUAACUCCGUUCCAGCAGCCGCGGUAAGACGGAGGAUGCGUGCGUUGUCCGGAUUUAUUGGGUUUAAAGGGAGUGUAGAGUGGUUGUUAAGCCAGGUGGGAAAGUGUGCGGCUCAACCGUCAAAUUGCAAUUGAAACUGGGAGCCUUGAGUACAGUUGAGGGAGGCGGAAUUCGCGGUGUAGCGGUGAAAUGCUUAGAUAUCACGAAGAACUCCGAUUGCGAAGGCAGCUUACUAGACUGCAACUGACAUUGAUGCUCGAAAGUGUGGGUAUCAAACAGGAUUAGAUACCCCUGUAGUC
RNAcentral lists this ribosomal RNA (460 nucleotides) under uncultured bacterium. RNAcentral describes it as "partial 16S ribosomal RNA". It matches the Rfam family "Bacterial small subunit ribosomal RNA", at positions 338 to 795 of the family's 1533-position model. The record is from RNAcentral.